This 27-nucleotide small RNA is filed under the name Bombyx mori (domestic silkworm). Its description in RNAcentral is "piRNA piR-bmo-2144253". Lineage: Eukaryota; Metazoa; Arthropoda; Insecta; Lepidoptera; Bombycidae. The record is from RNAcentral.
UACUGCAACUGCUCUCGUAGAUGUGAC